AGGGAUCGUCGGGAAGGUGACUCUCCGUUCGGGACGAAGAGGUCGCAGGUUCAAAUCCUGUCACCCCGACCA
RNAcentral lists this transfer RNA (72 nucleotides) under Luteipulveratus halotolerans. RNAcentral describes it as "tRNA-Pro". Lineage: Bacteria; Bacillati; Actinomycetota; Actinomycetes; Micrococcales; Dermacoccaceae. The record is from RNAcentral.